Molecule: long non-coding RNA, 223 nt
Organism: Sinocyclocheilus anshuiensis
Lineage: Eukaryota; Metazoa; Chordata; Actinopteri; Cypriniformes; Cyprinidae
Exons: 3
Source: RefSeq, a predicted model, not a curated record
AUUUGGGAAGGUGAUUCUGGUGCGAGAGAAAGCCAGCGGCACAUAUUAUGCAAUGAAGAUCCUGAGAAAGGAGGUUAUUGUUGCCAAGGAUGAAGUUGCUCACACACUCACCGAGAGCAGAGUUCUGAAGAACACUAGGCAUCCGUUUCUAACUUCACUGAAGUACUCAUUUCAGACGAAGGAUCGUUUAUGUUUUGUUAUGGAGUAUGUGAAUGGAGGAGAG